This 449-nucleotide ribosomal RNA is filed under the name uncultured bacterium. Its description in RNAcentral is "bacterial SSU rRNA". It matches the Rfam family "Bacterial small subunit ribosomal RNA", at positions 354 to 796 of the family's 1533-position model. The record is from RNAcentral.
GUCGAGGAUUUUUCUCAAUGGGGGAAACCCUGAAGGAGCGACGCCGCGUGGGGGAUGAAGGUCUUCGGAUUGUAAACCCCUGUCAUCCGGGAACAAGGCGCUCCACCCAACACGUGGAUCGUUGAUAGUACCGGAAGAGGAAGCCGUGGCUAACUCUGUGCCAGCAGCCGCGGUAAUACAGAGACGGCAAGCGUUGUUCGGAUUCAUUGGGCGUAAAGGGUCCGCAGGCGGUCGGUUAAGUCGGAUGUGAAAUCCCAUGGCUCAACCAUGGAAGGGCAUCCGAAACUAGCCGGCUCGAGGACUGGAGAGGAGACUGGAAUGGUCGGUGUAGCGGUGAAAUGCGUAGAGAUCGACCAGAACACCGGUGGCGAAGGCGGGUCUCUGGACAGUUCCUGACGCUCAGGGACGAAAGCCAGGGGAGCAAACGGGAUUAGAUACCCGAGUAGUCC